Juglans regia (Persian walnut) is the source of this 795-nucleotide long non-coding RNA. RefSeq lists it as uncharacterized. Lineage: Eukaryota; Viridiplantae; Streptophyta; Magnoliopsida; Fagales; Juglandaceae. The transcript is spliced from 2 exons. The record is from RefSeq and is a predicted model, not a curated record.
UUUCAUUCAAAAAAGCCAAACGGUGUGUUUUCCAUCUCCUUCUCCCCAAGGCUUUCCCUCUCUCUCUCUCCUUCCUUCUCCGAAUCGAACCUUCUCUAGUUCUCCCUUUCAUGUUCCCCUCAUCUCCAAGGCUUGAUCUCCUGCAUUUGUUUCAACUAAUUGGCCUGCAUUUUCUCUCUGUACUGCAUCUAUUUCUUCGAUUUACCCAGUUGAGAUUUUCACCCAAUGUUCGGCUACACAAAUUCAUUCGAAUCUUCGAGAUCUCUAUGUUCGACUGCAUGGAUUCAUUAAUUCGAAUCUUUGAAUUUUCCCCCUUCAACCCUAAGUCUAACCGUAACCCUAACCCUAACCUAGCCCUUCCUCUUUAUCUCGACCUUCUCGUUCCUGACCCGUUCUCCUUCAUCGCAAAUGGGCACUGGACAAAUGAUUGGCUGAGAAGCUGAAAGCUUGGUUUGAGUGUGCAAGAUCUUUAAAGUAAAUCAGUUUUUUCUGGUUUGGACUGUCACCAUACUGUCUUCAAAUUUAAUGAAGAAUCCAAUUUUUGCAUGUUCUUAUUCAAGUUAGGUACUAUUAGAUUGUUCUUUUUAUAUUCUUGAUUAUGGACUCACAUUUUGGCAGGCUAAAUUAAUAGAGUGUUGGUUGAGGUUGUAAUUUUCAUCAAUGCAAGGAAAGCCUCUGCCUAAUUGGUCCCUGUAGACUUUAAUACAUGGUAGCUCUGUCCUUUGGAAUCCGCUUUGAUUGGCUCUUUUGUUGUAUUAUUAAUAUGUAUAAUUUACAAAAAAUACAUUCCAUAUA